RNAcentral lists this long non-coding RNA (326 nucleotides) under Solanum tuberosum (potato). RNAcentral's name for it is "long non-coding RNA (STUB_LNC002659)". The record is from RNAcentral. Lineage: Eukaryota; Viridiplantae; Streptophyta; Magnoliopsida; Solanales; Solanaceae.
UUUGCCAAGUCUUCUUCUAUAACUUUCUAUCUCUGUUGGACUUUGAAAAGGCUCUAAGAGAGCUAUAUAUGAGUAAUGAUUUUUCCUGUUAAGAUCAAGUAAUCUCUCAAAAGCAUUUGGAGAGUUUACUGACCUUAUGUUCCAGAAAAGUAAUUUGCUAAUCAUUGAUCACUGGAGGAUGAUAUUCCCUUCCUGCUCCUUGUAUUUAUUUGCAGAAGCACUAUAUUGCUGUAUUUCUUUUUGUGCCUACAUUUUAGUUGCCCUAUUUGUCUUGGUGACAAAUAUCCUUCUCUUCCUAUUUGCUCUAUGGAUGCCUCCAUGUCAUC